This is a long non-coding RNA of Talpa occidentalis (Iberian mole), 472 nucleotides long. RefSeq lists it as uncharacterized. NCBI's taxonomy places the organism in Eukaryota, Metazoa, Chordata, Mammalia, Eulipotyphla, Talpidae. The record is from RefSeq and is a predicted model, not a curated record. The transcript has 3 exons.
CAAUCGUGUCUCAGUCUUCCUUUUGUUAGAGACUUUUUAGUUUUCUCCCUCAGGCACCCAGCCAAAGACAGCACCGCGGGUAACGGAGCUGGCCAGUCCUGCCCAACAUGACAACCUCUGCAGUUGUUUCCCGAGGCCGCUGGAACAAAUUGCACAAGCUGGUGAUUUAAAAUAACUUGAAUGUAUUCUCUCACAAAUCUGGAGGCCAGAGUACAAAAUCAAGAAACAAUUUUCUUCACCGUUGACUGUCUUGGUGGUUUCAACUCUUCCUUUGAUCCCUGGAGACAGCAUUGAAGGUGUGGCUCAAAGACCAUCCAGCCGGCAAGAGACCAUGAAGCUCAAGCCCCACAUCACAGAUGUUUUCUGUGUUGCUGCAUCUGGUGCUCUGCGCCUUUCUCAGUAACAUAAAGAGCCAGGAGUGUUUCCCUUAUCAAAAACCUUGGUUCUAUGAAAUAAAUAGGGGACUUGGGGG